This 489-nucleotide ribosomal RNA is filed under the name uncultured bacterium. RNAcentral describes it as "bacterial SSU rRNA". It matches the Rfam family "Bacterial small subunit ribosomal RNA", at positions 24 to 507 of the family's 1533-position model. The record is from RNAcentral.
UCAGGAUGAACGCUAGCGACAGGCUUAACACAUGCAAGUCGAGGGGCAGCACAGGUAGCAAUACCGGGUGGCGACCGGCGCACGGGUGAGUAACGCGUAUGCAACUUACCUAUCAGAGGGGGAUAACCCGGCGAAAGUCGGACUAAUACCGCAUGAAGCAGGGGCCCCGCAUGGGGAUAUUUGCUAAAGAUUCAUCGCUGAUGGAUGGGGAUGCGUCUGAUUAGCUUGUUGGCGGGUAACGGCCCACCAAGGCGACGAUCAGUAGGGGGUUCUGAGAGGAAGGUCCCCCACAUUGGAACUGAGACACGGUCCAAACUCCUACGGGAGGCAGCAGUGAGGAAUAUUGGUCGAUGGACGAGAGUCUGAACCAGCCAAGUAGCGUGCAGGAUGACGGCCCUAUGGGUUGUAAACUGCUUUUAUAAGGGAAUAAAGUGAGUCUCGUGAGACUUUUUGCAUGUACCUUAUGAAUAAGGACCGGCUAAUUCCGUG